UCUGCCCCUAGAAGCAUUGCAGGUGAGGCUGCUGUGUCAGAUGUGCAUUAGCAGCUGGCAGAAAGAAGAGAGGCUGUCUAUGCUCAGUGUUCUGACCUAUGAAUAUCUGAAUGACAUUCCCUGCAAU
Molecule: small nucleolar RNA, 127 nt
Organism: Grammomys surdaster
Lineage: Eukaryota; Metazoa; Chordata; Mammalia; Rodentia; Muridae
Product: small nucleolar RNA SNORA17
Exons: 1
Source: RefSeq, a predicted model, not a curated record